CCCGAGCUAGCCAGUAGCAACUCUCUCUGGUCCCUUUCCACACUGUGGAAGCUUUGUUCUUUUGCUCUUUACACUAAAUCUUGUUGCUGCUCAGUGUUUGGGUCCGCACGGCGUUUGUGAGCUGUAACACUCACCACGAAGGUCUGCAUCUUUGCUCCUGAAGCCAGCGCGAAGGUGUGCAGCUUCAGUCCUGAAGCCAGCGAGAUCGCGAACCCGCCAGGAGGGACGAACAACUCCCGCCAGGAGGAACAAACUUCUCCAGACGUGGCGCCGCCUUUAAGAACUGUAACACUCACCGCGAAAGUCUGUAGCUUCGCUCCUGAAGCCAGCGAGACCGCGAACCCACCAGAACAAAGAAACUCCGGACACAUCAUCUUUAAGAACUCACUGGGAGAGUCUGCGGCUUCAUUCCUGAAGUCAGCGAGACCAAGAACCCACCAAUUCUGGACACAAUUGGAUACUAUAAUCGAUAAAGCUUGGCCUUCAGAAAUUCCCAGUCUUGCAAAGGCAAGAGGGAAACACAGCAAGGAGCAAGGUUGUCUGCUGAAUAUUUGCCAAGAGGAAGUUUGGGGAAAUGCCACAUGCAUAGUAAUUCCAAGUAGUAUGAUGUCUCUUCCUGUAACUCUUCAGAUUCUCAAUCCGGUCUCCUGAGAAAGACAGUGUAUGCACACAUAAGCAGGAUCUCUUGCCCUUUCACCUUUCAUGAUGGGAUGAUGCAGCAAGAAGGUCCUCACCAGAUGAGAGCCCCUGACCAUGAAUUUUCC
RNAcentral lists this long non-coding RNA (764 nucleotides) under Homo sapiens (human). Its description in RNAcentral is "HSALNT0021814". Lineage: Eukaryota; Metazoa; Chordata; Mammalia; Primates; Hominidae. The record is from RNAcentral.